UACGAAGGGUGCAAGCGUUGUUCGGAAUCAUUGGGCGUAAAGCGCGCGCAGGCGGAUUGAUAAGUCAGGUGUGAAAUCUCGAGGCUCAACCCCGAAACUGCGCCUGAAACUGUAAAUCUAGAAUCUCGGAGAGGGAGGCGGAAUUUCGCAUGUAGGGGUAAAAUCCGUAGAGAUGCGAAGGAACACUUGAGGCGAAGGCGGCCUCCUGGACGAGUAUUGACGCUGAGGAGCGAAAGCGUGGGGAGCAAACAGG
RNAcentral lists this ribosomal RNA (253 nucleotides) under uncultured bacterium. RNAcentral describes it as "partial 16S ribosomal RNA". It matches the Rfam family "Bacterial small subunit ribosomal RNA", at positions 524 to 776 of the family's 1533-position model. The record is from RNAcentral.